ACGCUCGACACCUACGGGUGGCAGCAGUGGGGAAUAUUGCACAAUGGGGGAAACCCUGAUGCAGCGACGCCGCGUGAGCGAAGAAGUAUUUCGGUAUGUAAAGCUCUAUCAGCAGGGAAGAAACUGACGGUACCUGACUAAGAAGCACCGGCUAAAUACGUGCCACAGCCGCGGUAAUCUGAGCGGGCUGGCAAGGC
RNAcentral lists this ribosomal RNA (197 nucleotides) under uncultured bacterium. RNAcentral's name for it is "partial 16S ribosomal RNA". It matches the Rfam family "Bacterial small subunit ribosomal RNA", at positions 328 to 539 of the family's 1533-position model. The record is from RNAcentral.